UGAAGAGUUUGAUCAUGGCUCAGAUUGAACGCUGGCGGCAGGCCUAACACAUGCAAGUCGAACGGUAACAGGAAGCAGCUUGCUGCUUCGCUGACGAGUGGCGGACGGGUGAGUAAUGUCUGGGAAACUGCCUGAUGGAGGGGGAUAACUACUGGAAACGGUGGCUAAUACCGCAUAACGUCGCAAGACCAAAGAGGGGGACCUUCGGGCCUCUUGCCAUCAGAUGUGCCCAGAUGGGAUUAGCUUGUUGGUGAGGUAACGGCUCACCAAGGCGACGAUCCCUAGCUGGUCUGAGAGGAUGACCAGCCACACUGGAACUGAGACACGGUCCAGACUCCUACGGGAGGCAGCAGUGGGGAAUAUUGCACAAUGGGCGCAAGCCUGAUGCAGCCAUGCCGCGUGUAUGAAGAAGGCCUUCGGGUUGUAAAGUACUUUCAGCGGGGAGGAAGGUGUUGUGGUUAAUAACCGCAGCAAUUGACGUUACCCGCAGAAGAAGCACCGGCUAACUCCGUGCCAGCAGCCGCGGUAAUACGGAGGGUGCAAGCGUUAAUCGGAAUUACUGGGCGUAAAGCGCACGCAGGCGGUCUGUCAAGUCGGAUGUGAAAUCCCCGGGCUCAACCUGGGAACUGCAUUCGAAACUGGCAGGC
RNAcentral lists this ribosomal RNA (647 nucleotides) under Salmonella enterica. Its description in RNAcentral is "bacterial SSU rRNA". It matches the Rfam family "Bacterial small subunit ribosomal RNA", at positions 1 to 641 of the family's 1533-position model. The record is from RNAcentral. Lineage: Bacteria; Pseudomonadati; Pseudomonadota; Gammaproteobacteria; Enterobacterales; Enterobacteriaceae.